RNAcentral lists this non-coding RNA (23 nucleotides) under Arabidopsis thaliana (thale cress). The record is from RNAcentral. Lineage: Eukaryota; Viridiplantae; Streptophyta; Magnoliopsida; Brassicales; Brassicaceae.
GCCAUGUUAAUGAGGGAGAGCUG